RNAcentral lists this ribosomal RNA (274 nucleotides) under uncultured bacterium. RNAcentral's name for it is "partial 16S ribosomal RNA". It matches the Rfam family "Bacterial small subunit ribosomal RNA", at positions 523 to 796 of the family's 1533-position model. The record is from RNAcentral.
AUACGGAGGGUGCAAGCGUUACUCGGAAUCACUGGGCGUAAAGCGCGCGCAGGCGGGCUGAUAAGUUGGAUGUGAAAGCCUACGGCUCAACCGUAGAACUGCAUCCAAAACUGUCAGUCUAGAGUCUGGGAGGGGAAGAUGGAAUUAGUUGUGUAGGGGUAAAAUCCGUAGAGAUAACUAGGAAUAACAAAAGCGAAGGCGAUCUUCUGGAACAGUACUGACGCUGAGGCGCGAAAGCGUGGGGAGCAAACAGGAUUAGAAACCCUAGUAGUCC